AAUAACAAUAUACACCCGGUUUGACACACACGCACGUCCGAGCGCGACUCGGUGUGGGAACCGCCGAGAAAUCCGGUCCCGUUCCGGCGCAGUCUUCGUUUCGUCUAUGGUCCGGGUCGGUCGUUGGCAGGAGAUAUAAUAUGGCCCGUAACCAGUCUGACAAGUACCGAUCGCACGUAGAACAACGGCACACUUGUACGGGCGCAACAACACGGAAAACAAUCGCAGAGAUCAGAACCUACUAAUUUAAACACACCUAAAUGCAGUGUCGAGAAAGUAGCUGUGAAUGUUACAAUGAAAUUCAUUGGGUUCCAGAAUAACUUUGAUGAUGUUCAAACAUUAAAAUAACCGAUUAUAAUAAUAUUAUUAAUACGAUUGUCAUUUCUUAAGCAUUACUAUUUAAUUUAUAGUUUAUUUCAAUAAAAAUGUAUAGUAUAUUGUA
Molecule: long non-coding RNA, 442 nt
Organism: Rhopalosiphum maidis (corn leaf aphid)
Lineage: Eukaryota; Metazoa; Arthropoda; Insecta; Hemiptera; Aphididae
Exons: 3
Source: RefSeq, a predicted model, not a curated record